RNAcentral lists this long non-coding RNA (1692 nucleotides) under Monodelphis domestica (gray short-tailed opossum). RNAcentral's name for it is "lncRNA (ENSMODG00000050940.1)". The record is from RNAcentral. Lineage: Eukaryota; Metazoa; Chordata; Mammalia; Didelphimorphia; Didelphidae.
AUGAAGAAGAAAAAAUAUAUGCAUGUAUAUUUACACCUUUCUCUUCCUCUCCCUCCCUCUCUCUCUCUUCCUCCCUCUUCCUUUCUCUUCUUUCUUUCUUUCUUUCUUUCUUUCUUUCUUUCUUUCUUUCUUUCUUUCUUUCUUUCUUUCUUUCUUUCUUUCUUUCUUUCUUUCUUUCUUUCUUUCUUUCUUUCUUUCUUUCUUUCCUUUUUCUCUCCCUUUUUUCCUCAAUAUAGAUAUAUGCACAUAUUUAGUCAUAGAUCACAGGUUAUGGUACAUGUACAGACACCACACACACAUACAUAUAUAUAUAUAUAUAUAAUAUAAAUAUAUGUACCUAUGUGGCACAAAGUUUAAGAUUGUUGAAAGUACAUCAUAAUAGUAAUAAUACAAUUUUGUUGUUAAUUUGUUUUAUUUUUCUGUCAUGUCUGACUCUGGAUCUCACUUGAGGUUUUCUUGGCAGAUAUUGGAGUAUUUUGCCUUUUCCUUUUCUAGGUUAUUUUACAGAUGUGUAAACUCAGUGCCUUGCCCAGGGUCAAACAGCCAGGAAAUGUCAGAGGCCAUAUUUGAACUCAAGCCUUCCUAACCUCAAACCUGGUGCUCUGUCCACUAAGUCAUCUAGCCACCCAGUCAUAUAAUACAAAAUUUUAAAAAUAGUACUUUUAUAAUCCUUGCUACUGGGGAGUCCCUUGAGCUUGGGAGUUCUAAGCAAGGCUAAAGCUUUGUGAAUGUUUGCACUAAACAUGGUAUCAAUAUAAUGAGCCAAUGGGAGAGUUGGUGAUGGUCAGUUUCAGGAUGCCUAAAGGAGAAUGGAAGUGGCCCAAGGAGUGAACAUGAGCAGGCCAAAGCUUCUGGGCCUAUUCUCAGUGACAGUGGUCCUUGAGUGGCAGGCACAUGUCCAGUUUGGGCAACAGAGGGAUAUCUAGUCUCAAAAACAUAUAAUAGUGAUUAUAAUAAUAAGGUUUAAAGGCAAAAGAAGAUAUAAUGAUAAAAAUAUGUAAAGACUUAAGGCAAAAAAUAAGACAUUAAAGAGGGGUACAAUGGAAAGAUCACUAGCUCUGGAGUCAGAAGGCUUCAUGCAAAUCAUCACUUCUGAAGGUCUCAGUUUCUUGUUGUGUAAGCUUAAGUGACAAGUUAGAUGACCUCUAAGAUCUCUUCCCUUCCGCUGUGCUAAUAUAAUCCUGUGACCUCAGCAAAUAAUUGGGUUAACUCUUUUUAGGGAUUUUUAAUCUCUCCCAACCCAGGCCUCAUCCUUCCCAAGGUCAAGGUCUUCCUUAGUCAUACAGAAAGCUAGAUCUUCCUAGGCAUAGGGUGAGCCUCCUUACCUCUGUUUAGCCUCUGGGCCCAAAGCUUAUACUUCACACAGGGCGUUCAUGCCAGGCCCAGAACCUCCCACUGAGCUCUGGCUUCUAGCCUGAGGACAUUAGCUCUCAGCCAAUUUGUAGGGCUAGAAAAGGCCAGUACCCACUGCAGCUCAGGAAAACUUCCCUUUCUUUCCUAGCACAGCAGGCAACUUUACUGCUUCCCUAAGUUCACAGGCUGAUGAUUCAUCUGCCUUCAGAGAAGAGGCCAUCCAAGGCUUAUUUUAUAUUAUCACACAUGAUUAAAGUAUAGGAGAACAAACAUGAAUGAUUUCCACCCACAACAGGGGAGGAAUAAUUUAAUAAUAAACUGCCAUGAGAGCUUGGGGCA